UAGACACUUACAGACUAGAAGCUCUAAUACGAAGAGAGACCAUCCUGAAGAUCAUUGAUUUAUGCUAAAAUGGCAGGACAAAGGGGUGCAUUUAUUUAGCAGACAUGUAUUGCGUCCCUGCCCUGUGCCGGGCAAUGUUUUAGGCAGACAAGACAAUGAGUAAGACAGACAAGGUACCAGAGAAUUUUAGGUGGUGACGAGCGCAAGGAUGAAAAUGAAAUAGGGUGAGGCAAAGAUAUGAUGGCAACGGGACACAAUCACAGAAGAUAGCUCUGAGAAGGUGCAUUGGAGCUGAAAUCUGAAUAUUGAAAGGAAGCAUCUGAAUGUUGAAAAGGAUUAUUGGACAAGGAGAGCCUCAGGUGGAGGGAACAGCUGCUGCAAAGGCCCUGAGGCUAAUGCAAAUUGGGCAGCUUGAGGAAAAGGAAAACAGGUGUGGCUGGUGUAGCAUCAGGGAGAGGGGAGGUCAGGGAUAGGAUGGGAGAGGUAGGCAGGGGAGGGACCACAUUGGGCUUUGCAGGAAAGACAGUGGAGGAUGUAGAGCAGGCAGCUGAUGUGAUGGGAUUUGCCUUUUUAGGACUGGCCUCAGUGGAGAGAAGUGUAUUCUUGGAGAACAGGAGAAGCAGCGGGGUUGGUGCAAGGCUGACGAGUGCGGUUCAGGUGAAACAUUCACAUGGAAAAUCUCCCUCCCCUUCUUGUCCUCAUCUGCAAAGACACCCAUUCCCCGUGCCAUAGGUAAGUAACAUUCCUAAUUUUUUAUGUGUCCUUCCAGAAUUACAUGUGCAUAUGUAAGUAAA
Molecule: long non-coding RNA, 794 nt
Filed under: Camelus dromedarius (Arabian camel)
Lineage: Eukaryota; Metazoa; Chordata; Mammalia; Artiodactyla; Camelidae
Description: lncRNA (ENSCDRG00005019008.1)
Source: RNAcentral